GACGAACGCUGGCGGCGUGCUUAACACAUGCAAGUCGAACGGAAAGGCCCUGCUUUUGUGGGGUGCUCGAGUGGCGAACGGGUGAGUAACACGUGAGUAACCUGCCCUUGACUUUGGGAUAACUUCAGGAAACUGGGGCUAAUACCGGAUAGGAGCUCCUGCUGCAUGGUGGGGGUUGGAAAGUUUCGGCGGUUGGGGAUGGACUCGCGGCUUAUCAGCUUGUUGGUGGGGUAGUGGCUUACCAAGGCUUUGACGGGUAGCCGGCCUGAGAGGGUGACCGGCCACAUUGGGACUGAGAUACGGCCCAGACUCCUACGGGGGGCAGGAGUGGGGAAUUUUGCAAAAUGGGCGGAAGCCUGAUGCAGCAACGCCGCGUGCGGGAUGACGGCCUUCGGGUUGUAAACCGCUUUCGCCUGUGACGAAGCGUGAGUGGCGGUAAUGGGUAAAGAAGCACCGGCUAACUACGU
RNAcentral lists this ribosomal RNA (467 nucleotides) under uncultured bacterium. RNAcentral describes it as "partial 16S ribosomal RNA". It matches the Rfam family "Bacterial small subunit ribosomal RNA", at positions 28 to 506 of the family's 1533-position model. The record is from RNAcentral.